This is a long non-coding RNA of Humulus lupulus (European hop), 414 nucleotides long. RefSeq lists it as uncharacterized. The transcript is spliced from 3 exons. NCBI's taxonomy places the organism in Eukaryota, Viridiplantae, Streptophyta, Magnoliopsida, Rosales, Cannabaceae. The record is from RefSeq and is a predicted model, not a curated record.
AUCUACUGUACUUUGUCUUUUUCUAAACAUCGUUAAAAAUCAUAGAUGGGCAGAGGAAGGACAACCACUAGCACUGUAAUAACUUGUCUUUUGAAACUUUGAAUUGAUCAUGGUAGGCCUAUUAAAAUCUUGCUUGAUACUAUGACCCAUGAAGAGGUGGAUGGUGGAACCUCCAGUGGUGAAGAGACUGGAGAAAUUCUGAUUCAUAGUGCUGACCAGCUAGAAAAUUAUGCGAAAAACUGAAGAAGCUAAAGUUGAGGAGCUUAUAAAGGCAGUUGCUGAUUCCGGUGCCAAAGUAAUUGUUAGUGGAGCAGCAGUUGGGGAGAUGGCACUUCAUUUCUGCUUAUGGUUUUGAAAAUUAGUUCAAAAUUUGAAUUAAGACGAUUUUGCCGCACUACUGUUGCUGUUGCUAUG